Molecule: long non-coding RNA, 971 nt
Filed under: Numida meleagris (helmeted guineafowl)
Lineage: Eukaryota; Metazoa; Chordata; Aves; Galliformes; Numididae
Description: lncRNA (ENSNMEG00000018231.1)
Source: RNAcentral
CUUAACUGUAUGAACUCAGAACACGAAUAAAUGAAUUCCAGAUGAGAGAUCUGCAUACCAGGAGUGCAGCCUGUGUCUUCAUUCUCUUUUCCGGAAGAAGAAGAAUGGAUGACCCAACAAUUAGGACCUAGGCAUCUGGCAGGUGAGGGACGCCUUUGGUAGGAGCUCUCCUCUUUCUGGGGCAUGUGCAGUGUGUCACUAAGGAUAUAGUUACAAGGGCUGAUGGCUUUGGCCUGAACUCUGCUCAAGGUCAGGUUUGCCCACCCUUUGACACUGUUUAGAAGAGACUGUGCCAUCAUCCCUGCCAAGCAGAGGAAAGUCAAGAGGCACUGGAGGCCAAUAAAGGACAAUGAAUCAGCCAUGCCACAGAGUGAACCUUGUUCUUUAGCAGAGCUGGAUUUCACCAGCACAAUAGCUAGAUUACACAGCCAUUUCCUCCAAUUACCUUCUCUGUCAAAUCUCUCUGUCAUCUGGCACUAGGAAAGUUUGGUUUAAAAUUCAUUGUGAAUCAGGGCAGUGACACCAGAGAUUUCUAAAUUAAUAUCCUGCCAGCAGGAAUUGAACUUGUUUUUUCCAGUUGUGUCAGUUCUGAUUCUGUUGCUUGUCAGAGAAAACUUUGGCUUGCCAUCUGGUCUCAACCCAGCACUGUGAACUUGCUGCGCUGUGGUGGCCUGGUGAUGCUUUUGCACUGGGCCCUUGUUGUCAUCUGGUAAAUGAAAAGCAGGAGAUCAUGGGCACAGGGUGCACUGUGUGAAGGAAAGAGAAGACACGACCUCUUCCCUGAAACAGUGGAAAUAUGCAUGCUUUUGCAAGUGGGGAUGACUAUGGGACAGAGAUCUUCACGGCUGUUAAAUGAAAUACUGCAGACCCACGAGGUGUUCAGAAGAUGUGAAGGAGAUGCUGCAUGUCCUGAAGCUGGCCUGGUGGAGCUGAGAGCAGCGUGCGGGGAUGGAUGGACCCAGUGCUGCUGA